Long non-coding RNA from Macadamia integrifolia, 896 nucleotides. RefSeq lists it as uncharacterized. NCBI's taxonomy places the organism in Eukaryota, Viridiplantae, Streptophyta, Magnoliopsida, Proteales, Proteaceae. The transcript is spliced from 2 exons. The record is from RefSeq and is a predicted model, not a curated record.
UCUCUCCUAAGUGAUGACAAUUUUGGGUUUGCUGUGAAAAUAAACAGGAUCAAUUCGGAAAGGUUCCUCUGUUUUGGGGAAUUACCGCCGAUGGAUACGUCGCCUUUGCUGACGAUGCCGACUUGCUCAAAGGUGCUUGUGGAAAGUCUCUUGCAUCUUUCCCUCAGGGAUGCUUCUUCUUCACCGCAGACGGUGGUCUGAGAAGCUACGAGCACCCUAAGAAUACAAUUACUGCCAUACCCGCCACUGACGAAGAGAUUUGGGGAACCAAGUUCAUGGUAGGAUAUAAAUUAUUAAUUUGUAGAUUUGGGAUGAUCUUCUUGUCCUUUUUUUCAUCCUCUGCUUUGUGUAUAUAUGUAUACAUCUCAGGUUGACGGAAUAAGGCUUUCUUUUUCUCUUUUUUUAAAUCCUCUUUUUGAUCAGCGGUUCAGGUCCGGCAAUAAGGUUUUAUUUUUUGUUUUUUAAAUCCUCUCUUCUUCUUCUCUAGCUCUUCUUUUUCUUCAGGUCAGCGGGACAGUAGCAGCUAUGAGCCGUGUUCUUUUUUUAGGAAGCUUGAAGAUUUUGGAGCCCGAGGCUUAAGAAGAAUCACAAUAGGGUAGGGAAGAGAGGAGUCCCGCCGCCGCCUCUGCUCCAUAUCCGCCACCGACAGAUCCGGCCUCAUCAAUCCAAAUACCGGCGAUGGAGAUCCGGCGGAGAAGAUAAUCGAAGGUUGCGUUUUUUCUCCUUUUUUUCCUUCAAUCUGUUCGGAAUCUGCAGUCUGUGGUGGUCUUGGUUGGAAAUCCGGCAAAUUAUGGCUGAAAUCUGUGGUUCUCUGUAUUUUGAAAGCUUCACUGUAAUGUAAAAAUAUGAGUUUUUCAAUAGCAAGGGUAUAAUGGUCAUUUUAAGUCGACACUUAA